RNAcentral lists this ribosomal RNA (550 nucleotides) under uncultured bacterium. Its description in RNAcentral is "bacterial SSU rRNA". It matches the Rfam family "Bacterial small subunit ribosomal RNA", at positions 355 to 896 of the family's 1533-position model. The record is from RNAcentral.
UAGGGANUCUUCGGCAAUGGGGGCAACCCUGACCGAGCAACGCCGCGUGAGUGAAGAAGGUUUUCGGAUCGUAAAGCUCUGUUGUAAGUCAAGAACGAGUGUGAGAGUGGAAAGUUCACACUGUGACGGUAGCUUACCAGAAAGGGACGGCUAACUACGUGCCAGCAGCCGCGGUAAUACGUAGGUCCCGAGCGUUGUCCGGAUUUAUUGGGCGUAAAGCGAGCGCAGGCGGUUUGAUAAGUCUGAAGUUAAAGGCUGUGGCUCAACCAUAGUUCGCUUUGGAAACUGUCAAACUUGAGUGCAGAAGGGGAGAGUGGAAUUCCAUGUGUAGCGGUGAAAUGCGUAGAUAUAUGGAGGAACACCGGUGGCGAAAGCGGCUCUCUGGUCUGUAACUGACGCUGAGGCUCGAAAGCGUGGGGAGCGAACAGGAUUAGAUACCCUGGUAGUCCACGCCGUANCGAUGAGUGCUAGGUGUUGGAUCCUUUCCGGGAUUCAGUGCCGCAGCUAACGCAUUAAGCACUCCGCCUGGGGGAGUACNACCGCAAGGNUG